UGAAAUUACAUUGAAACAAACAAAGGGCAGAUGAAAGCUGUUCCGGGACCCACCCAGCUGCCCUACCCAGCCUGCAGAUCCAAAGUGGGUGAUGGACAGACUGCACAAUAUGGAGCCUUAUAGCAAAAAGUCGUGUCUGCUGAAACAGACACCCCAGCGACUGCCACUGGCAAAGGAAGAAGGGCUUCUGCUUCCCUUCCAUCUUCCAAAUCAUGGCUGUGUGAUUCACCAGUCUGAAUCCAGACCCUUGAUGGCCAGGGGCAUUUUACCAUGCAGGAGGUAUUACAAAAAUCAUGUCCUGUGAUAAAAUGAUCAAAGAUCAUGUAGCCAAAAAAAGUAAGGAAAAAACCUUUUAUAAAUAGAGGGUGGGUGUUUGAGGGGUUAUAAUACUAUUUUUCCCACAUGUUGUGAUGUUUGUGUUAUUUCAGCUUUUAAGAAUUUGUAUAUUUUUUCUCAUUAUAAGUGAGUAUUUGUAAUUUUGUGUCCUUUUACUUAAAGAAGGCCUCCACACUUGAAAAGAGGAUGGCAGAACAGAAAGAGAGAAUCCUGGUCCCUUUUGACAUUUUGGAACCCAUGGCAGCUCUGGAUGGUCCACUGCCAGCCUCCUGUAAUUCGAGGGAGAAAUAAAUCUCUAUCUUAAGUGACCAUUAUUUUGGUUUUUCUGUUAUGAGCAACCAAACAGAAUCUGAGCCCUUUGUCUCAGCAGUUCUACUUCCAGGAGUUUAUCCUACAGAUAUACUGGCACGUAUACACAGUGACGCAUGGUCAAGGUCAUUCAUUGCAGCAGAAUAUGGGAAACAGUCUAUGUGUCCAUCAGUGGAGGCUGGUUAAAUAAAUUGCAUGCAUCCACACAGUAAGGUAGUAAGUAUCGUAUAUUAGGAGGAAGGUUGUCAUAUCGAUAUGAAAUUAUCUCUAAGCUGUCCUGCUAAGAGAAAAAAGUAAGUACAGAACAGUGUAAACACCAUGCUAUUAUCUGUGUAAAAUACAGAUGUACGUACUUAUAUAUGUAUUUAUAUAUGGGCUGCUGGUUCUUGUACAGGCAACUAAGUGUCUGAGGACAGGAGUCAGAGGGAGACUUUUCUCUGUGUUGUUUGUGAAUAAUCAUUGUGAACUUUAUUUUAAAAUAAAUAAAGUUAAAGCUA
Long non-coding RNA from Suricata suricatta (meerkat), 1142 nucleotides. RefSeq lists it as uncharacterized. The record is from RefSeq and is a predicted model, not a curated record. The transcript is spliced from 2 exons. NCBI's taxonomy places the organism in Eukaryota, Metazoa, Chordata, Mammalia, Carnivora, Herpestidae.